RNAcentral lists this ribosomal RNA (1058 nucleotides) under Staphylococcus aureus 880. RNAcentral's name for it is "bacterial SSU rRNA". It matches the Rfam family "Bacterial small subunit ribosomal RNA", at positions 8 to 1045 of the family's 1533-position model. Lineage: Bacteria; Bacillati; Bacillota; Bacilli; Caryophanales; Staphylococcaceae. The record is from RNAcentral.
AGAGUUUGAUCCUGGCUCAGGAUGAACGCUGGCGGCGUGCCUAAUACAUGCAAGUCGAGCGAACGGACGAGAAGCUUGCUUCUCUGAUGUUAGCGGCGGACGGGUGAGUAACACGUGGAUAACCUACCUAUAAGACUGGGAUAACUUCGGGAAACCGGAGCUAAUACCGGAUGAUAUUUUGAACCGCAUGGUUCAAAAGUGAAAGACGGUCUUGCUGUCACUUAUAGAUGGAUCCGCGCUGCAUUAGCUAGUUGGUAAGGUAACGGCUUACCAAGGCAACGAUGCAUAGCCGACCUGAGAGGGUGAUCGGCCACACUGGAACUGAGACACGGUCCAGACUCCUACGGGAGGCAGCAGUAGGGAAUCUUCCGCAAUGGGCGAAAGCCUGACGGAGCAACGCCGCGUGAGUGAUGAAGGUCUUCGGAUCGUAAAACUCUGUUAUUAGGGAAGAACAUAUGUGUAAGUAACUGUGCACAUCUUGACGGUACCUAAUCAGAAAGCCACGGCUAACUACGUGCCAGCAGCCGCGGUAAUACGUAGGUGGCAAGCGUUAUCCGGAAUUAUUGGGCGUAAAGCGCGCGUAGGCGGUUUUUUAAGUCUGAUGUGAAAGCCCACGGCUCAACCGUGGAGGGUCAUUGGAAACUGGAAAACUUGAGUGCAGAAGAGGAAAGUGGAAUUCCAUGUGUAGCGGUGAAAUGCGCAGAGAUAUGGAGGAACACCAGUGGCGAAGGCGACUUUCUGGUCUGUAACUGACGCUGAUGUGCGAAAGCGUGGGGAUCAAACAGGAUUAGAUACCCUGGUAGUCCACGCCGUAAACGAUGAGUGCUAAGUGUUAGGGGGUUUCCGCCCCUUAGUGCUGCAGCUAACGCAUUAAGCACUCCGCCUGGGGAGUACGACCGCAAGGUUGAAACUCAAAGGAAUUGACGGGGACCCGCACAAGCGGUGGAGCAUGUGGUUUAAUUCGAAGCAACGCGAAGAACCUUACCAAAUCUUGACAUCCUUUGACAACUCUAGAGAUAGAGCCUUCCCCUUCGGGGGACAAAGUGACAGGUGGUGCA